CUUAGUUCAGUGAUGACUUUCAGUCUACACGUCUGUCUAGCCAUAUAUAUUCGUCAGAGAAACGCAGGCUAGUGCUGGGAGCCUUCGGCGACAGCACAUAUACCUGCGUUUAUGAUGCGUCACAUCGGCGCUCCUCACUUCUUGUGCUGGCACUGUAGACAUGAAAAAAUUGUUUAUUUAAAAGCACCGAUGCGAAAUCUGAAAUAUAAAGUAAUUUAUCCUUUUUAGACUUCUUGAUUCUUGAGGUUAGACGCGCCGAUAGCGUGCAGACGGACUCGGCGGAUACGCUAUGCCUAAGCUUCGAUGGGGACUGAUCUCGGCGCGGGUAGCUGGCGAAAGCUAAAAUGUGUGUAUUUGAGCCUCAGAACUCUUUUUAGUACAAUAGGGAAAGUGGAAGCGCACGAAUCGCCUCAGCCUUGUUAUCGGUGCGAUAAUAUCAAGCAGCGGUAGGCAUCGAACUCGGGGUCCGUUCGAGCGCGUCUGAACGACUUCUGGAUUUCAUGUCCACUCCACAACACUGCGACAAUGGCGAUAACUCCCAGUCAUACGUUACGUGCGAACUACUAAAAAAGCGGCGUCCUCCGUCUAUGCGUGGUUUCGUUAAAGAAUUUAGCUGUCCGCCCUGUCACAAGGCAAAAUGCAAAAAACGAAAGUGAUUUUCAGUGUCACAUGUGCAGGAAUAAACAAGGCAGCUCACGCACCUUUAUUCCAUGCUGCGACACGAAAUAGUUCUAUGACCCUAAGAUAUAGCGUUAUUUAGGACAAGAGACUAGUAUCAAGCCAUGAAAUUGUAUAAAGCAUUUAAUAUUCAGCAGCGCUCGUCCUUGCGUGCUGGAGCCAGCGCGGCACAAACACAACCAGCGCCGUUUCCAAUGCGAGCGUCUCUUCCAGUGUGACCCAGCUCUUAUCCAGCGUUCUCACUGGUCUCGAGUGAGUCCCAGCGAGCGCCAGCGUACCCAGUGCGAUCCAGUGCUUAAAAAAAAAGAAAGAAAAAGAAAAAAGAAAAACGCGCUGGUUUCACACUGGAAGGCACUGGAAGACGCUGGUUCUUGCAAUCGGCAUUUCAGAGGUUUUUUACUAUCAAGUAAGAGCAUCGUUAAAAAGACACUCAUUGACCAAGGCAAACAUCACACUAAUCGAAAUUAGGAAAACCAAAGAAAUAUAACGGAAGCGCGCAUUGUGGUUUAUAUCGCAUAUGCAGGUAAAUCACAAAGAUGUAUACCAAGAAACACUAAGCAAAACUGCGCCUUAGCAAUCGCGUCAUAUCUAUUUGCUGGCAUGCAGUGACUGCAGCACUUGGGGCGGAAACAGAUCGAACGCCGCCGCAAAUUUCUGGCACAUACCACUCAAAUGCACGCUGCAGAAACGAUUUUUUUUUUCAAGGAAUCUUGAACAGUCACAGACCACAUGAGCGCGAUCCGCGCAUGAUAAGCGCAUCGCCACGAAAGCAAGAUAGGGAACACAUAAGCGUAACCUGUACCUCACGGGUAAAAUUAAACAUCAUCGUAUAUACGUUGCUGUGCGACGGACACAAGCGCACGGAAACAUCACACACUGCACACGUGUACCUCCGAGGUUGUGUCGACAAUUUCUGGGCUACAUUUAAACGACAGCAGGAAGUUACUUCAAUGAGAAACGAAGUGAGGGCACAGGCACUGCAGGUAACGGCUGCGCAUAAAGUCAGUUAGGGUUUUAAGGCCAGUGACCGAGGUUGAAAUCGUUAAAAUCACACCGCAGCGAUAGCUUACACAGGGUAAAUUGUCGAGAUCUUGAAGGCCAUGCUUUUUGCUGACUACAUGUGGCAUAAGCGAUUCAAAAGCAAGAAUACUGCAUGUAAUUUAUUUCUGCCCUAAACUAUAGCACACAAUAUGAGCAUGUCAAUGUUUCUUCUUGUCUAGCAACAUAUGUAUGUAGUUCGGCUCAAAGGCCGGCUCAAAACGGCACAAAACCUGCUGUAGUGGGUAUUAUUGUAGGAAUCACGGAGGCCACAGCAGCCGCACUAUUAUACAGACGGCGCUGGCGGCGCCGGUAUUUUCGUAUUCAACGCGACAGGUAGAAUACGAAGCUACGGCGUGUUGUUAUUGCUCCGUCUUCAACGGUUGUCGUGCGAGCUGCGUCGAUGUGUUUGUUUGACCGUGUGUUAUUAGGUUUGCUGUAAUGAAAUGAGACGUAGUUCGCGAGCACGAAAGUGCCAGAAGAUGGCUUGAGUCUCGCUGUAAGCACGCCGUAUGCGUGGCGCGCCAGCUAAAUGUGGACCAACGAUUUUCAUGCCAUGGAGUGCGUUCCCUUUGUCUCCGCUUGUGUUCGUGGAAAGUUUGGUGGACGGCGCAGAGAAGUAAUGCGUAUUAUUAGCGCGCCUCAGCUCGUCCACUACCCAGUGGCUUGUUUGCUGCAAGUAACAUCGCAGACGCAUCACUGGAAACUUGGAGAGUGCCUUUCGACCUCGUCGUACUGUUGAAACGUGGCGAGGCCGUGACCCACAACAUUAACUACAAGAUCGAGGAGCCCCAAGAAAUGCCGACCCUGUGGAUAUAUGGCUGCAGCAGCAUGGCGUGUGAUCUGGAUCGUCAUGACAGGCUCCACCGUCGCCGUUACUAGACGGACCAAAUGAGGCCAAAAACUAGCCUUUCCUCGCU
Dermacentor albipictus is the source of this 2636-nucleotide long non-coding RNA. RefSeq lists it as uncharacterized. NCBI's taxonomy places the organism in Eukaryota, Metazoa, Arthropoda, Arachnida, Ixodida, Ixodidae. The record is from RefSeq and is a predicted model, not a curated record.